RNAcentral lists this ribosomal RNA (253 nucleotides) under uncultured bacterium. RNAcentral's name for it is "partial 16S ribosomal RNA". It matches the Rfam family "Bacterial small subunit ribosomal RNA", at positions 524 to 776 of the family's 1533-position model. The record is from RNAcentral.
UACGUAGGGUCCGAGCGUUGUCCGGAGUUACUGGGCGUAAAGCGCGCGCAGGCGGUCCGCGAGGUGUCACGUGAAAGCCCCGGGCUCAACUCGGGAGGGUCGUGGCAAACCGGCGGACUUGAGGCCGGUAGAGGUGGGUGGAACUCCUGGUGGAGUGGUGAAAUGCGUAGAGAUCAGGAAGAACACCCGUGGCGAAGGCGGCCCACUGGGCCGGAACUGACGCUGAGGCGCGAAGGCGUGGGGAGCGAAUGGG